UAUUUAUUUGUUGAAUUUAUUAUUUUUUGCAUUAUAUGAUUAGCCUAUUCUAGAUACCGAGGAAGUUGUCCACAGAGGGAAAAAAUUAUACCAAGAAGCAAGAGAGCCUGUUUUCUGACCCCCUCUCAGUCACUUGGUAAUUAUUAUUCCUCAAUCUUCACAUCUGAGGAUAUAACUAUUUUACCUGACUGAAGACAGAAGGGGUAUACCAGAUGGUUUCACCAAGAUCCAUCAAAUUCUAGUCAAAGAUUCUUCCAUUUUAAUUAAGCCCAUUGCUUCCUGUUUGAUCUUCUAAGGGCAGAGAAUAACAAUGUAAGCUCUGACCAUUUAAAAAAAUCAUCAUUCCUGCUCUAAUCAUCUCAAACCAUUCAUUCACUGGUCAUCCCGGGAAGGUCAACAGCAAUCUCCGAAGAGUCUGGUACCACGUCCUCCUCACAAGUCACUGCUAUAAGACUGACACUUAUCAAAAUGUCUGCCCAUCUCCACAGAGACGCUCCUAAUGUGCCUUGUUUCUGCUUUAUGACAAUGACCUUGGUUACAGCCAGUUGGUCCAGGAAUAGGCACCUGACCCAGUCUGGGCCAAUCUGGCCCCCUCUCUUGGGAAUGGUGACCAAAAGAGUCUGUCUCAGCAGAAACUGGAAAUGUAACAUAAACAGUCAUAAGCCAGGGGCCUGCUGGCAGUGCCAUGGGGGCUAAAGAACAGAAAAGGCUAGUCUACAAAGAAAGAAGAGAAUGAAAUUGAUGUCCAAGAAAACUGGAUUCAAGACACCAGAGAGAAAAUGAGCCAACCCAUUCACACUUCCAGGCCCUUUCUGAGGCAUGACAAUGUGGCAGAAUGUAUUUUCCAAUAUUUUCCAUCCCAUACGCUCUUCCAGAACCUUGCCACUGCAUCAAAAGAUGGUGUCUAUAUCCCUUCCGCCUGAAACGGUGAGCCUUUGUGACUGCUCACACUUCUAGGAUGUGGCAGAAGUGACGCUGUGUGAUUGCUGAGGCUAGAUCAUAAAAGGCAACACAGCUUGCACACAGCUCUAUCUCUUUGGACACUCAUCCUUGGAAUGGCAGCCACCAUGCUCUGAGGAAGCACAGGUCACAUGGAGCGCCCCACUUGGAGACAAAUGGAGGCCCCCCAGCCCUCAGUGCUGGCUGAGCAACCAGCAGACAGCCAGCACCAACCUGCCACCAGGAGUGAGAGGAGGAAAAGGAAAUUAAGGCUCUCUUUCUAAUCUGCAGCCCACCACAUGCGUUCAGGUACUCAGAAGGCUGGAAACUUUUCAAAGAAGAAGAGGGUGAGUUUCUCUGACCAUAUUAGCCAUGAGCAGCCACAGUGAAAGAAUUAAUGAAUUAGUUGCCUUUGCUUAUCUUUGCCCUGGACUUCAGACCUCCUUCAGGAGCAAUGGAGGGAUCCAAAAGCCAACACUGGAAGAUGUGGAUGGUGCUUCCAGCUCAAGGACGUGGCCUCCAGCAAGUCCCUGAACAUCUUUA
Molecule: long non-coding RNA, 1482 nt
Filed under: Homo sapiens (human)
Lineage: Eukaryota; Metazoa; Chordata; Mammalia; Primates; Hominidae
Description: HSALNT0391150
Source: RNAcentral